GUGAACUGGAGAUGUGAUCGAGGGCAUGGGUCCUGGGCUUCCCCCUCAUGGGUAAAACCAGAGCUGCCGUAUGCCAGCCGCAGAGGCAUGGACGGCUCCUGAGCUCGGACAGCAGAGGGACAGACCAUCGACGCGUUGGCACCGUGGCCAGAGUCUGUUCAAGAAAGGUCGGCAGGGAGGGCUGAGAACUCGGCAGACACACCUUCCAAGGGCCCUGCUGGAACCCCUGGAGCAGGAGGAAGCGGUGAUUCUCCAGGCCUUGGUUUUCUCACUGCUUGGAGGAAGACGAGAAUUCUCAGAGGUCCAAAAAGGCCCUUUUUGCUGCAGUCUUGACAUCUUAAUGUGGAUAGAAAAAGGCCGUGCAGCAUCGAGGACAGGAGGAACUGGAGCCUCAUUGGCCGGCCCGGGGCGCCGGCCUCGGGCUUAAAUAGGAGCUCCGGGCUCUGGCUGGGACCCGACCG
RNAcentral lists this small RNA (461 nucleotides) under Pongo abelii (Sumatran orangutan). Its description in RNAcentral is "processed transcript". Lineage: Eukaryota; Metazoa; Chordata; Mammalia; Primates; Hominidae. The record is from RNAcentral.